GACGAACGCUGGCGGCGUGCUUAACACAUGCAAGUCGAACGGUGAAGCGCCUUCCUUUUUGGUGGGUGUGGAUGAGUGGCGAACGGGUGAGUAACACGUGAGUAACCUGCCCCCUUCUUCUGGAUAACCGCAUGAAAGUGUGGCUAAUACGGGAUAUUCUGGGUCUGUCGCAUGAUGGGUCUGGGAAAGAUAUUGUUUCGGUGGGGGAUGGGCUCGCGGCCUAUCAGCUUGUUGGUGGGGUGAUGGCCUACCGAGGCGGUGACGGGUAGCCGGCCUGAGAGGGUGGACGGUCACACUGGGACUGAGACACGGCCCAGACUCCUACGGGAGGCAGCAGUGGGGAAUAUUGCACAAUGGGCGCAAGCCUGAUGCAGCGACGCCGCGGGAGGGAUGGAGGCCUUCGGGUUGUGAACCUCUUUCGCCAGUGAAGCAGGCCUGCCUCGUUUGUGGGUGGGUUGACGGUAGCUGGAGAAGAAGCGCCGGCUAACUACGUG
RNAcentral lists this ribosomal RNA (494 nucleotides) under uncultured bacterium. Its description in RNAcentral is "partial 16S ribosomal RNA". It matches the Rfam family "Bacterial small subunit ribosomal RNA", at positions 28 to 507 of the family's 1533-position model. The record is from RNAcentral.